UUAAAGCGACUUAUGCAUGCGUAUAAACGUAGUAAUUGACACGUAUGCGGCAGUGUAUAAAUCACUGUAGACGCUUUCAAGUACAAAGCGCUAAGCACAACGCCCAAGUGAGUGAGUGAAUGAGUGCCAAGUGUAAAGUGCAGACAAAGCAGAUUUAAGUGAACGUUGCCGUGAAAGGCAUUGAAGCUGAACAUUUAAGUUGAAUAGCAAGCGACUUUGCAUAAAUCAUGAACCAGUGCCUGUAAAUACUAGGUGUAUUGAAUAUUUAAAUCGUUUAUACAUAUUUCGUGAGCAUACUUAAUUGGCCUCUGCAUGCAGUGCAGUGAAGAGUGAAAGGUGAGGAAUGCUUUGAGGAGGCUGUAAUAAGGAGUACAAAAAAAAAACUUUUUCUACAAGGUGAUAUAAAGAGCACCCAUAAAACAAUCUCAUGCGAAAACUUAAUGGUAAAAAGGAAUGGUUCACAAGCACAGGUAACAAAUGCAGUAUUUAAAACGAAAACAACAACAAUACAAUCGCAACAACAAGUGCUUUAAAAUCUGCUGAAGCAAAGGAAAACGAAACGAAAACGUCAUUGCAUUUGUUGGGCACUAAAACAGUGGGGCAUAACCAGUAACGGAAGUAAAUCAACCAGAGUGAGAGAGAUAAAGAGAGAGUGGUUCAGUGCGCCGGGUGAGAGAGGUGGAAAUUAGAACGAAGUGAGGUGCAGCAGAGCGCCAACUAGUCGGCGGACAGCGGAACAACAGGAAGUGUGAGAAAACAGGAAGUGCUGAAAUAGCAAAAACACGCAGCUGAAGCAGCAGCAACUAGAAAAAAA
This is a long non-coding RNA of Rhagoletis pomonella (apple maggot), 814 nucleotides long. RefSeq lists it as uncharacterized. NCBI's taxonomy places the organism in Eukaryota, Metazoa, Arthropoda, Insecta, Diptera, Tephritidae. The record is from RefSeq and is a predicted model, not a curated record. The transcript has 2 exons.